CAAAGAUGAAAUUAUAUAGAAAUGUAUAUUAAAAUAAUUUAUUUAAUAAAGGUAGUGUUAUUAUAAAUAAUGAAAGUGCAAAUAUAUUACUUAUAUAUUUUUGGCACUUAACAGUUUACAAACGUAUUCUAGAGCUGCAGGAAUGCUUCGGAACUCAUAAUGUUUAUUUAUACCACUUUAAUACCAAAGAAAAAGAAGGUGUCGAUUGAAAUAUGUUACAAAUAAUUAUUUUAAGUAAACGAAGGCAAAUUAAUGAAUAAAUAUGAAAUGAUGUAAUGAAUGCACAUUAAUGAAUAUAUGCUCAAAAUAGAACUCAGAUGUGAUGAAUAUUAUGGCAAUAAAUUACUCAAUGUUGAGCUUACAUAGAUGUGAUCUCAUCUCAUUUUGUCAGGAGAUUCUGAGACUGUAUUGCGAUGUGGCUAUCCAGAUUUUCUGCGAACCCUGGACAAUUCUGAUCCUGAGUUCUGAAUCUUACAAUGGACAGCCUCCGACACAUAAUUUUGGAAUACUACUAACUGUAUUUCUUGCAGUUUCUCACAGACUUUAUGCACACUUUGUUUGUUUAUACAAACACCUCUUAAUAAAAUCAAUUUGGUGAAAUCUAUCAGAUGCUACAAAGGGCGA
Long non-coding RNA from Ctenocephalides felis (cat flea), 624 nucleotides. RefSeq lists it as uncharacterized. The transcript is spliced from 3 exons. NCBI's taxonomy places the organism in Eukaryota, Metazoa, Arthropoda, Insecta, Siphonaptera, Pulicidae. The record is from RefSeq and is a predicted model, not a curated record.